RNAcentral lists this non-coding RNA (203 nucleotides) under Paramoeba aestuarina. The record is from RNAcentral. Lineage: Eukaryota; Discosea; Flabellinia; Dactylopodida; Paramoebidae.
AGACAGAGAAUGAAAAAGAAAAAGAAAAAGAAAGAUCGAACUAAGAAAGAAGAAAACUGAAAAUGCCUUUCUUUCUCUUUCUUUCUCUUUCUCUUCUCUUUUCUCUCUCUUUCUCAAAACCACAACCGGACCAUGGCAAACUUUUGGCUGUUGUGAAGUGCACAACAACAGAAGAUCAAAAAGGAGGAGGAAGUUUAGUUAUU